AAAAUAUUAGAUAGAGCUACCACAAUGUAGGAUCGUGGCCAGGUAACCUUUUUAACCCUUUAGAUACUUUUGAUAGAAAUUUGAUGAGAUUAACUGAUAGUGAUGGCGUGCUUUUUAGUGAACUAGCCUGCAAAAUGUAACGUGCGAAAACUAUUGGGCUAAGUGGCAACUUGACAAUUGAAAUUGUUUACUUUUAGUUGUUUUUAUUUCUGUGUUCUUUGAAAAAGUCAUUGAUAUUAAACCAUACAAACUGCAUAAUUCAUUGCUGAAGGUUUUUUUGUCAGUUCUUUUACAUUAAGUAAUAAGAACCAUCUCUAUAGAGGGUUCUCAAUAAAAUUUGAAGACCGAUACAAUUUUUUAUAUUGAUUUUACUGAGAAAUCUAAAUUUACUACAUAUUUGAAGUUUUCCAACUGUUAUUUAGAACAAUUUCAAUCUCUCUCUUCUAUUGGUUAAGCUUUUCCUCAUAUUU
RNAcentral lists this long non-coding RNA (470 nucleotides) under Olea europaea (common olive). RNAcentral describes it as "long non-coding RNA (OEUR_LNC003036)". The record is from RNAcentral. Lineage: Eukaryota; Viridiplantae; Streptophyta; Magnoliopsida; Lamiales; Oleaceae.